UAGCAUAUCAAUAAGCGGAGGAAAAGAAACUAACAAGGAUUCCCCUAGUAACUGCGAGUGAAGCGGGAAAAGCUCAAAUUUAAAAUCUGGCGGCCUCCAAGCCGUCCGAGUUGUAAUUUAGAGAAGCGUUUUCCGCGCCGGACCGUGUACAAGUCUCCUGGAACGGAGCGUCGUAGAGGGUGAGAAUCCCGUCUUUGACACGGACAACCGGGGCUAUGUGAUACGCUCUCGAAGAGUCGAGUUGUUUGGGAAUGCAGCUCAAAAUGGGUGGUGAACUCCAUCUAAAGCUAAAUAUUGGCGAGAGACCGAUAGCGAACAAGUACCGUGAGGGAAAGAUGAAAAGCACUUUGGAAAGAGAGUGAAACAGUACGUGAAAUUGCUGAAAGGGAAACGCUUGAAGUCAGUCGCGUCCUUCGGAAUUCAGCCCCCGUGGUGUACUUUCCGUCGGACGGGCCAGCAUCACUUUUGACCGCCGGAGAAAGGCGGGGGGAACGUGGCACCCUUCGGGGUGUGUUAUAGCCCCUCGUCGUAUACGGUGGUCGGGAGUGAGGACCGCCUUUUGCAGGAUGCUGGCGUAAUGGCUUUAAACGACCCGUCUUGAAACACGGACCAAGGAGUCUAACAUGCCCGCGAGUGUUCGGGUGGUAAACCCGUGCGCGUAAUGAAAGUGAAAGUUGGGAAGGCUGUCGCGGCCUGCACCGACGCCCGGACCUGAGAUUCAUCGACGGUUCUGCGGUAGAGCGUGUAUGUUGGGACCCGAAAGAUGGUGAACUAUGCCUGAAUAGGGUGAAGCCAGAGGAAACUCUGGUGGAGGCUCGUAGCGAUUCUGACGUGCAAAUCGAUCGUCAAAUUUGGGUAUAGGGGCGAAAGACUAAUC
This 877-nucleotide ribosomal RNA is filed under the name Vararia breviphysa. RNAcentral's name for it is "LSU rRNA". It matches the Rfam family "Eukaryotic large subunit ribosomal RNA", at positions 36 to 936 of the family's 3401-position model. The record is from RNAcentral. Lineage: Eukaryota; Fungi; Basidiomycota; Agaricomycetes; Russulales; Lachnocladiaceae.